Molecule: ribosomal RNA, 440 nt
Filed under: uncultured bacterium
Lineage: Bacteria
Description: partial 16S ribosomal RNA
Rfam family: Bacterial small subunit ribosomal RNA
Source: RNAcentral
CCUACGGGUGGCAGCAGUGAGGAAUAUUGGGCAAUGGAGGCAACUCUGACCCAGCCAUGCCGCGUGAGUGAAGAAGGUUUUCGGAUUGUAAAGCUCUUUCGGAUGUGACGAUGAUGACGGUAGCAUCUAAAGAAGCCCCGGCUAACUUCGUGCCAGCAGCCGCGGUAAUACGAAGGGGGCAAGCGUUAUCCGGAUUUACUGGGUGUAAAGGGAGCGUAGACGGCAGCGCAAGUCUGGAGUGAAAUGCCGGGGCCCAACCCCGGAACUGCUCUGGAAACUGUGAAGCUGGAGUGCAGGAGAGGUAAGCGGAAUUCCUGGUGUAGCGGUGAAAUGCGUAGAUAUCAGGAGGAACACCGGCGGCGAAGGCGGCUUACUGGACUGUAACUGACGUUGAGGCUCGAAGGCGUGGGGAGCAAACAGGAUUAGAUACCCCAGUAGUC